RNAcentral lists this ribosomal RNA (301 nucleotides) under uncultured bacterium. RNAcentral's name for it is "partial 16S ribosomal RNA". It matches the Rfam family "Bacterial small subunit ribosomal RNA", at positions 509 to 807 of the family's 1533-position model. The record is from RNAcentral.
CAGCCGCCGCGGUAAUACGAAGGGGGCUAGUGUUGUUCGGAAUUACUGGGCGUAAAGCGCACGUAGGCGGAUCGAUCAGUCAGGGGUGAAAUCCCAGGGCUCAACCCUGGAACUGCCUUUGAUACUGUCGAUCUGGAGUAUGGAAGAGGUGAGUGGAAUUCCGAGUGUAGAGGUGAAAUUCGUAGAUAUUUGGAAGAACACCAGUGGCGAAGGCGACUGACUGGACAAGUAUUGACGCUGAGGUGCGAAAGCGUGGGGAGCAAACAGGAUUAGAUACCCCAGUAGUCCCUGUCUCUUAUAC